This is a long non-coding RNA of Folsomia candida, 642 nucleotides long. RefSeq lists it as uncharacterized. The record is from RefSeq and is a predicted model, not a curated record. Lineage: Eukaryota; Metazoa; Arthropoda; Collembola; Entomobryomorpha; Isotomidae. The transcript is spliced from 3 exons.
UUGUUUAUUAAAUAGAUAAACAGCAAUUCAUCGAAUAAUUCAUGGAUCAUGCUGGAUAUAUAAAGCACACGUUUCCAAACGUUUAAAUCAUUCACACUUCAAACUCAUACUUAACAAGGUUCGAAAAAAAGUAUCUGCUUAAACUAUUAAAAACAUUUCAUUUCUUUACUUACAAAAUGGGAUACAAAAUCGUUUCUAUCUUUCUGUUGGGUGCCAUCGUUGCAUUGAACUUCUCGACCUGCCUAGCCUCCGACUUUUCUGUCGCUAGCCCGGACGACAAUUCCAUGGGGAUCGAACGAGUAAGGGGCACUCCAGAUGAAGAUGGCACAAUCGUUUCCCUCCAAAAGGAUCAAAUUGCCCCGAAAUGUACCUACUGUGGGGGAUAUAGCCACGCGGGAUGUAGCAACUUUUGUUUCUGGGAGGGGUACAGAUGCUACAGUUGUAUCUCUCAUCCCUGUUACUGUGUCUGCACACAGGCUGGAUGUUAAACAAUUUUAGCUACAUAACUACACAAGUAGCUACAGGAUCUUGAUUUGAAUUAAUAAUACGUAUUACUAUUUCUUAAAACUUCUUACGUACUCUCCCAUUCUAAGCUUUAUGUCGUGAUCAAAAUAAAUAUGGAAUUAAUUUGUGAAAAUUUUA